Molecule: ribosomal RNA, 209 nt
Filed under: uncultured bacterium
Lineage: Bacteria
Description: partial 16S ribosomal RNA
Rfam family: Bacterial small subunit ribosomal RNA
Source: RNAcentral
UGCGUAGACGGUUAUGCAAGUUGGUAGCGUAAUCCCGGGGGCUUAACUCCGGAACUACUACCAAAACUGUAUGGCUUGAGUGCGGUAGGGGUAUGUGGAAUUCCUAGUGUAGCGGUGGAAUGCGUAGAUAUUAGGAGGAACACCAGAGGCGAAAGCGACAUACUGGGCCGUAACUGACGUUGAGGCACGAAAGCGUGGGGGAGCAAACA